Molecule: long non-coding RNA, 1065 nt
Organism: Cyprinus carpio carpio
Lineage: Eukaryota; Metazoa; Chordata; Actinopteri; Cypriniformes; Cyprinidae
Source: Ensembl
AUUAUCAGACCCAGCUCUACGCUAACAAACGCAACAAAGAAAUGUUCUUGCUUUUCAUUUCCACCAUCAUUACAUCUGCAAGAGCUCAAGCUGAAACAGUCACUUGAUUUUAAAGCGAGCAAGGAAGGAAGGAAACUCAGAUUUUAUGGUUUGUGUUUGGGUGGGGGGCAGGUGGACGUAGCCGGUCUUUCAACCUAUAAGCCACGACGGGACGUUGUAAACAGAGAAAGCCAAUGUUUCUAAUUCCACGACUGAUGGAACUCGGUUGGAAGGGAACUUUUUUUUUUUUUUUUGGAACUAGCGUUGUUAUACGAGUCUCCAUCUGGUUUCUAUUGGUGAAGCUGAGAAGUCCAGGAUGGAGUGAUUGGCUAUUGGCCAGUGGAUCUCUUUGUGGGAGACAGCGGACUGAGAGAUCUGGACUCAAGGAGUCUGGGAGAGAAGAAAAUGGUGUCGCACCAGGACCGCUUCCACUGUAUUGGAUUGACAACGAUUGAUACUUGGCCAACAAUGGGAACGAUAUAUCAAACUACAUAACACAGUUCAUAUACACAAGCAAAUUAGAGCUGGUGAAAAGUGCAGAGUGGUGCGGAGCCAGUGGUGAGAUACUGUUCUGUGGUUGUGAUCGAACCCGCUGUUUUGUCUUUCCUGGUGUUUUUUGUGGUUUUACACUAAAGGAUGACUGACCAACAUGAGAGCUUAAAGUCAAAAUGAAACUGAUCUAUGGACAGACGUUCCAGACUCUGAAUUUGCAUAAUGAGGGCAAAACUGUCUUGUAGCAACAAUGAGAAGAAUGUUUACGUCAUGUUCCGGAAUUCGUUUUGAAUCACUUUUCCAGUUUUACUCAUUUGUAUUAGUCAUAAUGUAACUUUAUGUAGUUUUUGACAAAACCAUUGUGGGUUCGAAAUUUUUUUACCAUAAAGUAAAUGAUUACACAAGACAAGGAUUUGCAGGAAUUUACUUUACGAGCAGAUGUCUAGCAACAAAUUUUGCUUGUUAAACAGGAAACCUGUAUUCUAAACUAUUGCUUCAUCUAUUUUUCUGAAUAAAACUCGAUGCAGAUUGUAA